Molecule: long non-coding RNA, 4409 nt
Organism: Eriocheir sinensis (Chinese mitten crab)
Lineage: Eukaryota; Metazoa; Arthropoda; Malacostraca; Decapoda; Varunidae
Exons: 4
Source: RefSeq, a predicted model, not a curated record
ACAGUCCCUUCUUGGCAGCCUGGGGGGGGCCUUCAGGCUCGUCACAGUACAGCACCAUCAAUGGUGAGGGGAGCAACACCCUUGGGAAGAGGUCUGGCAACCCUCUGCGCAGCUUCAGUGUGCCUGCCCCGCCCCAGUCUGCCCCCACCACCCCACAGCCCAAACACAUUGUUGCUGUGCGACCCCAGGGUGUCACAAGCCCCUUCAAGAAAUCCUUAGUUCCAGGCUCCUCGGGGAUGCCCAGCAGCGCUGGCCCUGGGGGACCCUCGGGCCGCUGGAUGGGCCCGUCCUCUCGGGUGGACUCUCUGCCCGAGCACGAGGAAGCAAAUGAAGCUCUACUUCAUGGUUACUCAACGGAAGAAUUGUCUCAGGAAAUGGCUAACCUUGAAGGGCUGAUGAAGGACCUCUCUGCUAUCACUGCCAACCAGUUCAACUGCUAGAGUUUAGUGAUGACUGCUUACCAUUACUCUCUGACAUGCUGCUCGCUCUGCCAACUUCACCUGAGUUUAGUAUUUUUAUUUAUUUUUACACGACUCAAUACAAAUUGUAUUCUAGUGAUGUCUUGAAACAAAGCCAACAGAUAUAUAUGUUCAGUGCCAGUACAUAAAAUUUGGGUUUUAUAUCAACUUAAAACUAUUGCAGGGUUAGGGGUGUACAGUCAUAAGUUGCAGCACAUAAGUUGUCAUUUUAAUAUUUCUCAUAAAAUAUCAUGUUUAGAUUUACACCACUCACACUGAAUACCUGAAGCAACAAGCCAUUCCCUGGAGUACCUUUCUUACAUUAUCAAAGAUAAGCAAACAGAGCCUUUUCCAUCUUAUUCUGAGCAGGGUUUCUCAUAUCAGUGCCAGGACCGUCAUGCCAGGUGUAGGAAGAUAAGUCACAAAGCAAAGUGAAUUCCAAGUUACGAUGCAGAGCCACGGGAUGCUCAUGUGUGGUGCGGCCCCUGGCAAUUUACAUUCUUUCUGACCCUAAUUUUUCUCCCACGGCCUGGUUUGUAGGCUCAAACCCAAACACUGUGCGGUGCUGUGCUGGUAUGUGGCCUUAAUCCCCAUCAUCCUGACCCCAUGUGUCCACACCUCCCUCAUGAAAGGCAGCGCUCAUAACAAAUUUGUUGCAGUUGCAGAGUGAUCAGUCUCCAUUCAGUCAGUAAAUACAAUUGAGUCCCAAGCAAUAAUUAUAAACAGCCAGACAGUUUUCCAUGCAUUCCUGACUCUUCCCCCUGGUGCUCCACUUGACAAUAAUUUCUCUCAGUAUUGGAGUUGAUGGGCAGCUUGCUGGUGAUCCUCAGCCACUGAUGGCAGACAGAAUGGUCAGCCUUCAGCAAGACUCAGGUGCUGGAGCCACUUGGCCACAUCUCCCUGAAUCUAAAUACAAAAUUAGUCAAUGACAUCUUUUGACUCCCAUACGUGCUGCUUCGUCAUGUAGCCAUUAUAGCCCCCAAAGCCUGUCAUUCACUCCUUACAUGCACAGCACCUCUCAAGUGUUGGCUGUUAUGGCAUACAAGCCUAUUCAGGGCACAAGUCCAUGAUAAUUGGCUAUUGCUUCUACGCCUCACUGCAAAGACCUGGUAUUAUAUCAAACCAACACUGACUUUAGAAAUAUUAAACAUCUGAGAAACUUACAUGCUGCAAAUUAUGGUUGACGGAGACUGACUGGGUGGAAAUGGUUUGAGAGUAAUUCAUGGGAGUGUUUUGAAUUUAUAAUAUUUUCAUGAGAGGAAAUGACUAAGUUAGUGGUCAGUAAUUUAUUGUUAUUAUCAUUAUUAUUAUUAUUUUUAUAUUAUUAUUAUUGUUAUUAUUUAUUUGUAUUAUAAUUUAAACAACUUUCAAAAGUAGCUGUCACUGGUGGUGUAGUGUGGUGCUUCCAAUCCUCCUCAGUUAGUGGUGUCCUCCGCGCCGCCCCGGCCAGGCUGUGGACCGUCAAAAUGAGUAGGGACAUGCCAUGAAAAUACGUAAAAUAUUUUUUCUUGCAAGUAUACUUGCUUCACGUUUCUUGAAAGCAGCUAAAUGCUAACAUGGGGAAAUAUGAAUGAGGUAGGGAUUUUCUUUUGAAGCAAAUUUGAAUAUUUUUCUUUAUAAAGGUAAUGAAACAUGUAAAAGUGAAACAGUUGAAUCAGAAAAAAAGCAGGCUUGUACAAUACACUACUUUUGCUGUAUUUUAUAGAAGAGAUGAGUCCUGCCUUUCAUGGUGAAUGGUGAGUGUGAGAGGUGAGACGAGGUGAUGGCCUCCAAGCACUGUGUUGCUGAGGACAGCCGAGUGGUGCCUAGUCAUGUUGAGGACCAGAGUGUGUGUGUGCCGUGCUCAGGCCGAUGAGUCUGUUGUUGCUGAGGUGUUUGAAAAUGUAAACACAACAAGUUUGCGUCCCAGUUCCCAGCUCCGAUAUUUCCGUGGACCCGAGAAAGGAUCUGAGUGAGUGAGUGUCGUUGCGUUAACAAAACACUGGACUAGGGUUUGCAGCAGUUUCAGGUCUCUGUGCUCAAUCAUUCUGAAUCUAAAUUCCCUUGAUCAGCAAAUAACGAGUAAAGGAGUUCUUCAUAGGUUCUAGGUUCUUCAUAGCUCACUGAAGACCAGCAUGUCAAAGAUCACUUAGAUAAAACAGUUCAUCAAAAGAGUGGUCCAGUAAUACACAGGAUGACGGCAUCUUGUAAACCUGCUGAUCUUUUGAAGCUCUACUUAAACAGCCUUCCUGCAGCUGUCUGGAACUCCUGACCGUUCGUUUAUUGCUGGAUAUUCACUGUGUUCUCGUUUGUACAUUUGGUGCGUGUACAAACUAGACGUGCAUUUAAUGUUAAGAGUAAUUUUAAGAACUUUUGUAUAGUGGAAACUUCUGAAACUACAUCAUGGGUGUCCUUCCAAGUUAACUUAAUGUUCAGUAACAGUUUAUAACUCUUUUUGUACCAGAAGUCAAUUUUUUGUUGUGUGACUUCUUUUAGUUGUCAUGGAUGAACAGAGACAGUAUAUCAGCAGUAGUGGCAACACUUUGGUAAUGAAGACUUGAUAAGUUUGUCAAUACCCACAGACAUUGGAGACUAGUUUAAUUUAUUGAGUGUAUGUGAUGAAUUUCUUUGUCCAGGUCUUGAUUUUUAGUCAUUCAGGUCAUUUUUUUAAUAGCUGUGAAAAUUAUUUGACAUUUUUUUAUUGCACAAAAUAUAUAAAUGUAAUCAUAUGAUAAGAACUGAUACAUGUCUCAGUAAGUGAAGUGUUAUUAUUUGUCAUCAUCAUUCCAUCAUUAUCAUCACAAUCAUCAUCACUGUCAUUAUCAUUGUCAUCGUCAUUGCACACCAUCUCAUGACAUUCAUCUUCACAACAUUUCACAUGCAUUUAGAAGCAUUUGUACUUUCAGGUUCUCUGGAAAACCCUCAGGUGGUGCUUGACAGAACAAAACUGGGACUUUCUUUACUAUUAGCUGGGCCUUAUCUACUUUUUUAUUGCUAAUGAAAAUCCAGGAUCUGAUAAUGUUAUCAGUCUGACAGAUUUCUGUAUUGGGCCCCAGCUCCUGUGUGUGUGUGUGUGUGUGUGUGUCUGUGUGUAGGAGGAAGUCUCCUUCCUCAGAGUCACACUGUCAACAAGCCAGACAGAAGCUUGCCUAACUUGCCUUCAUAAGUGCAUGUGCUUGAGGUUGAUGGUUCUGAUCUCAGCCACUGGCAGUUUUCCUGUGCAUGGGAACAAUUUUAUUUUCACUGCAUUUUAUCUCCCAGUCUUUGCAUUGACUACUACAGGUCCUCAUUUUUGUGUUCUGUCAUCACCUCUUGAGAAAUUUCCAAAUACCUCUUCAACAAAAUAGACAAUGCAUUUGUAUAAAUGCUCAUACAUUUAAUAGUUUAAUCUUUGUAAGAUCAAAUUUGUAAUACCACUUGCCAUGUAUAUAAAAUUUAGUUUUCAAAUAAAUUUUUAAAUGAUUGAUAGGAUUUAUGGUUAAUUUUGUACAUUGGUGUUUGUCUGGUAUGCAGUUUGUAGGGUUGUGCUGCAUUGUUUGGCACGAGCAGCAGCUCCUUGGGACGUCAUGAUACCUUUGCUCUUAUGAUGGAAUAAAUGUAAAGGUAGCUAAACCAUGGUAAAGUCUUUAAGACCUAGUUUCUAUUUGUACAAAGUAGGUUGUGCAGUGCAAUCCACUUGUUUAGGCAAAGAUUUACCAUACCAGAAAAUUCCUUGGAAGUGCAAAUGUGUUGACCAUAAUAAGUUGAGCUUCAAGGAAAGUGUACUUUAGGGUACAGCCCAGAACAUUUUUUAUGUUCAACAUAUUCCUCAGCCAACAGAAGGAACAUUUAGCCUCAGAGUGGGUGGGAAGUGUUUGCUGCUCUGCCAGAAUGAUUUGCUUCAGCCACACAAUCCUAACAAACAGGUUCCUUCCAAGAAUUCUCUUGUAAGAAUAGUCACAAAAAGAUAUUCUCAAUAAAACAUGAUGUAUA